CCUACGGGUGGCAGCAGUGGGGAAUAUUGGGCAAUGGGCGCAAGCCUGACCCAGCAACGCCGCGUGAAGGAAGAAGGCUUUCGGGUUGUAAACUUCUUUUCUGAGAGACGUAGAGAGUGACGGGACCUCAGGAAUAAGCCACGUCUAACUACGGGCCAGCAGCCGCGGUAAUACGGAGGUGGCAAGCGUUAUCCGGAUUUAUUGGGUGUAAAGGGCGUGUAGGCGGGAAGGCAAGUAAGAUGUGAAAACUCAGGGCUCAACCCUGAGCUUGGAUUUGAAACUGUUUUUCUUGAGUACUGGGGAGGCAAUCGGAAUUCCGUGUGUAGCGGUGAAAUGCGUAGAUAUACGGAGGAACACCAGUGGCGAAGGCAGAUUGCUGAACAGUAACUGACGCUGAGGCGCGAAAGCGUGGGGAGCAAACAGGAUUAGAUACCCGAGUAGUC
RNAcentral lists this ribosomal RNA (443 nucleotides) under uncultured bacterium. Its description in RNAcentral is "partial 16S ribosomal RNA". It matches the Rfam family "Bacterial small subunit ribosomal RNA", at positions 338 to 795 of the family's 1533-position model. The record is from RNAcentral.